Molecule: non-coding RNA, 30 nt
Filed under: Homo sapiens (human)
Lineage: Eukaryota; Metazoa; Chordata; Mammalia; Primates; Hominidae
Also listed under: 1 other name
Source: RNAcentral
UCCUGGUGGAAGUAGGUACCAAAGUUGGCC